Molecule: ribosomal RNA, 1159 nt
Filed under: uncultured fungus
Lineage: Eukaryota; Fungi
Description: eukaryotic LSU rRNA
Rfam family: Eukaryotic large subunit ribosomal RNA (bases 529-1159)
Source: RNAcentral
AAGUCGUAACAAGGUUUCCGUAGGUGAACCUGCGGAAGGAUCAUUACCGAGUACCGGGUCCUUGGGCCCCUACUUCCACCCUUUGUGUACCUACCGAUUUUUCGUUGCCUCGGCGGGGUCGAUCCCCUGGGCCUGCCGGCCCUGUGGGGGACCCGCCGGGGGGACACGCCAAAACUCCUGUCAACAGUGACGUCUGAGAAACAAAUAAACUAGUCAAAACUUUCAACAACGGAUCUCUUGGUUCUGGCAUCGAUGAAGAACGCAGCGAAAUGCGAUAAGUAAUGUGAAUUGCAGAAUUCAGUGAAUCAUCGAAUCUUUGAACGCACAUUGCGCCCCUUGGUAUUCCGAGGGGCAUGCCUGUUCGAGCGUCAUUUCAAACCUCAAGCUCACGCUUGGUAUUGGGCGUCGUCCGCCAGGACGUGCCAGAAACCCGUAGGCAGCGGUGCCCGUCUCCCAGCGUAGUCAAGUUACCCGCUCUGGAGCGCGCGGCGCGCCCGCCGGACGAACAAUCCACUCAUUUCUAUGGUUUGACCUCGGAUCAGGUAGGGAUACCCGCUGAACUUAAGCAUAUCAAUAAGCGGAGGAAAAGAAACCAACAGGGAUUGCCUCAGUAACGGCGAGUGAAGCGGCAACAGCUCAAUUUGAAAUCUGGGUCUCUCAGGCUCCGAGUUGUAAUUUGUAGAGGAUGUUUCGGCUUACGCCCCGGUCUAAGUUCCUUGGAAUAGGACGUCAGAGAGGGUGAGAACCCCGUAUGUGGCCGGCGGCUUCGCCAUGUGAAGCUCCUUCGACGAGUCGAGUUGUUUGGGAAUGCAGCUCUAAAUGGGAGGUAAAUUUCUUCUAAAGCUAAAUACCGGCCAGAGACCGAUAGCGCACAAGUAGAGUGAUCGAAAGAUGAAAAGCACUUUGGAAAGAGAGUUAAAAAGUACGUGAAAUUGUUGAAAGGGAAGCGCUUGCGACCAGACUUGUCCGCGGUGGCUCCGCCGGUCCUUCGGCCGGUGUACUCCUCCGCGGUCAGGCCAGCAUCAGUUCGGGCGGUCGGAUAAAGGCCUUGGGAAUGUAGCUCCCCUCGGGGAGUGUUAUAGCCCUCGGUGCAAUGCGGCCCGCCUGGACUGAGGAACGCGCUUCGGCCAGGAUGCUGGCGUAAUGGUCGUAAGCGGCC